This 551-nucleotide long non-coding RNA is filed under the name Ornithorhynchus anatinus (platypus). Its description in RNAcentral is "lncRNA (ENSOANG00000043125.1)". Lineage: Eukaryota; Metazoa; Chordata; Mammalia; Monotremata; Ornithorhynchidae. The record is from RNAcentral.
AGAUCUCCUGAAUCUCAGUCCUGUGUACCUUCCACUAGUUCCCUUGGUACAGUGUCUGUACUGAGUAUGUGUUCAAUAAGGACCAUUGAUUGAUAGUUCUGUGCAAAUUUCAGUUUCUCUCUCAACUCCUUCCUCUUUCCUCUUCCAUUAUAGUUCCCAGAAGAGAAGGAAAAAUCUGAAAAUCAAUGCUCUCCUGUUAAAUUUCUCACUCAGAUAAUUGGUUUCCACUCUAUCCUUGGAUGUGAGAUUCCUGGAGGAGCAAUAAAGGCUGGCCCGUGAAAGCCGGGACUCUCUUCAGCAGUUAAAGGGCUGGUUUCAGUCGAAGCAAAUAAGAUCACACGUCCAAAAGGCCACUACUACACCGAAGCAAAAUUUUUAAGAUUCCGCUGGAGUCAUCUAAUCCCUUGAACCAGAGUGCAAGCCACACCGCUUCUCAUAUCAGUGCUACAUUCUGCUUUGAAUCUUCCAGAGAAAACAGUAGCCUUUUAGAUUUGGCUGUCCAACUCUAUCAUUGUGUUUGUGCAGAGAGAGAUGAUUCAGAAAGAAACCAG